CACAGUGAUGACAGCUUUUGUGUCCUAGUGGCUCUGAGGACUCUCUCCCAACGUCCUGAGCGGUGUCACAGCGCCGUGAACCUCCCUGGCGGUAUCCGUCGGAUGACCCGUGACCCGUCUGCCUCCAGGAGUUCCAGAGGUGGCGGCGGGGCCGAUCCCAGGCCGCACAGUGCACGGCUCACCCCCGCGGGACCGGACGUGACGAGAACAAACUAGCAGACGAGCUGACUGGACUGGGGGCACCAUGGUUCCCGUUUUAUAUGGAUGAAGAUUUAAAUGGAUCUUGCCUCGCAACUUGGCCUACGGAGUACUGCAACAUGUCGACUUUGGUCGACUCGUGGGAUCGUCAUGCUGCAGCUGCCCGCAACCAUCUCAUCAUACGUUGCCAACUGACGGAGCCGUAGCCACAAGCCUGGUGAAAUUUCUGCCUCCGCUGUUGGACUUGCCUGCGGUCUCUUCGGGGUGAUAAGGGCGGUGUUUCACGGGACGCUGCUACCACGCUGCUCUCAAAUUGCGCGAGCUGACGUCACACUUGUGGUAGUGUUGGAGCAAUGGGCCUGUUGAUGUUUCCAUGGAAACCCAAUUUGACACGUGUAAAAGCAGCGUGCUGCUAUCACCGGUGAAACAGGGCCAAGGUCAGGAAUCGCCGGACAUCAAUAGAAUCGUUCAGCGAACAUCGCAUGGGCACUGGGCAGGCCGCGCUGCAGGGAGUCGUCAGCAAGUCGCAAAUGUGCCGACGUCAUCAUGCGGAUACGCCAGAUCGGAUGGCGGCUGCUGAGUAACAUUGCAGACGGGACCGAAGCACCAUUAGCCACUGACUAAAAGAUGCCUCGAGUGGGGCUCCGGGCGUACCCCGUACCAGCGCAUGAAAUCAACGUUCGGUUCCCUUCUGGACGAUCACGGCAGUGGACGGUUAGGUAGCGGAAACCCGCAGUCGAGCUGACAAGGAGCAACACCGAUUGGUGUCUGAAGUGAGCGAUCAGAGAAAUCACGCAAACUGAGACCCGGGCGUCCGGCUGUGACAGCCCCUGUGAUGAAGGGGCGCUGUUCUUCUCCAGCUUCUGCGCGUGCCACCCUGAUGGAUGAUGACUCAGGAAGAUCGCCGACCAUCGGAGAGGGGCUUCGGCUACACCUACAACGGCGCAGCACGACGGCCUACAAACGCCCAACGGCACCCUCAGCUCAGCCGCGGCGGCCAGUAGGCUUUAUCUGGAUGGCGUCUGCAACUCCUCACGCCGGUCGGUGCAGCUGUCCGCGCUGCCGUCCCAGGAUUUUUCGAAAUGCGAAGCUCGAGGACAUGAAACUUCUACCGAAUUUAAAGGACGUGGUCCGGUGGCGGCCGUCGGCCCGAGUCCCUCUCCCGACACGGCCCCAGGAGCGGCCGCACUAUUGGCCGUUGUGCAUUCGCGGAUGCUCUUGGCAGGCGCCAUGGAAAUUGAAAGGACGUGGUCCGGUGGCGGCUGUCGGCCAGAGUCCCUCUCCCGACACGGCUCUACGAAAUCGCGCCAGACUCAUUAUUUCUGUGAAGUGGACUGACUCCGUCUUCUGCAGGACGUGGUCCGGUGGCGGCUGUCGGCCAGAGUCCCUCUCCCGACACGGCUCUACGAAUGGCGCCGGAAUCAUUUUUUUUUUUCUGUGAAGUAGCCUGACUUCUUCUACAGGACGUGGUCCGGUGGCGGCUGUCGGCCAGAGUCCCUCUCCCGACACGGCUCUACGAAUGGCGCCGGAAUCAUUUUUUUUUCUGUGAAGUAGCCUGACUUCUUCUACAGGACGUGGUCCGGUGGCGGCUGUCGGCCAGAGUCCCUCUCCCGACACGGUUUGACGGAGGUACCCAGCUUUCACGAAGCCGGUGCAUUCACGGCAGUAACAUUUACCUGGCUACGCGGCGGCAGACUGGUGGGAUCGCCGUAGAAUGACUGUCGGCCACGUUGACGAGGUUCCCGGUCGUCGCGUCGCUCUGUGGAGCGGGGUCAGAAGAACGAUAUGGCGGACGUUCACCUGCGAUUGGCGGUCCGCGGCAAAACGAGUGUGAACGGUGGGACAGCUAAUGAGGCAACUCGACUCUGGAUGCUUGCAGAUCGUCUUUCGUGGGAAACUGAUUGCAAGGAUUGGGGCCGACGUUGCUGCCGUUCUGCUUGACGUUUUCCAGUCUCUUCUGUCUACUAGCAACGCCUAAUGGCUAACGGCGGCCCCUGGAUGACAUCGCGGCGCCCUCGGACCAGGACGGCAGCGGAGAGCUUGAGGCUGACGGCGGCCCCUGGAUGACAUCGCGGCGCCCUCGGACCAGGACGGCAGCGGAGCGCUUGAGGUGCCGCUCUGCAGUGCUCCGGAUUGAAGCAUGCGGCCUGGCGGCGGCCGAUCGGCACAGAGGUCGGGUAAGGUAACUGCAUUCACCAACUGUAUCAGAGCGUGGAGAGAAGUGGCAGUCGUCAGCUUCGAUUCAGUCUAAUAAAAGUUUUUUGUUUUAAAUAUGUCAAAAGUAUUGAAGUUGCUGUUUUUGCUUCAGAAAUUAUAGAUUAACUUUCCCAUGGCUUUAUUUUGUAGAAGUGACCAUAUGUAGCGGGAAAAUAUAUGGAUUUACUACGAUAUAACACUGUCAACAGUGUGUAUUUUCAGAAAAUAAACACCCAAUCGAUCGAG
This is an RNA transcript of Amphibalanus amphitrite, 2640 nucleotides long. RefSeq lists it as uncharacterized. Lineage: Eukaryota; Metazoa; Arthropoda; Thecostraca; Balanomorpha; Balanidae. The record is from RefSeq and is a predicted model, not a curated record. The transcript has 31 exons.